UGCUUUUUACAGAUCCAGACUAACACGGCUACCCCUCUGAUACUUAACAUUUGAUGAGUAUGAUUUUCAAACUGUAAUAACCAUUAGUUUGUUCAUACCAGGGCAGUAAAUGUUUUCUCUGGUGCUUCUUUUACAUAAUUCCAUAACCAUAUGUUCUUCAAUAAGGUUCUUUCCCCAGUCUGCAUGAGAUCACUCAUUUUUCUCCUGAAAAUUACAUCACUAACAGCAGCUACUGCAUUACAGACAAAUCGGCGAAGAAGGGAUGAGCCAUUUCUCUUUGCCUCUAGUCAUGCCUCAAGUAUCAUCCUGUUCAGAACAUGUUUUGCAGCCACACAAGUUUCUUGCAUCUACCAGUAGAGACUUGAAGCAUCAGUGAUACCAUCAACUACUCCUAACACAGACUACAAAAUUCUACCUGAACACUCACCUGGGCUGCUGCUUCACAUGGGGUGGAAUCCAGGAACUUUUUAGAUGCUUUGUGUCCCUAUGCCAAAGGACAGAGCAUUAAUUUAUGUGGGAUACUACAUUUAAAGAACAACAAUUACAGGACAUUAAUAUUGAUCAAGAAAGUAACAAGACGGAACAAAAUAGAUCACAUCUUUCUUCAGAAGACGUGGGAAAAAGACUUGCAAGAGACUGUUCAAGAUGGAAGUUCAUGCUAUGUGCCACCAAGGCUACAUCAUAGCCAUGUGACUCCGCUGCUGCUGCUGCAUCUUUGAAAUAUCCCUUCUGACUAGGUAAAAUUGAUCUUAAAUUUGCAGAAUGGCUGCAUUUUGAAUUGUGCCGUCUUUGUUUUAUCCCACCAUUAAAAGUUAUAGAAAAGAUUUUACCU
This is a long non-coding RNA of Malaclemys terrapin pileata, 832 nucleotides long. RefSeq lists it as uncharacterized. The record is from RefSeq and is a predicted model, not a curated record. The transcript is spliced from 5 exons. NCBI's taxonomy places the organism in Eukaryota, Metazoa, Chordata, Testudines, Emydidae.